GCCCGUCUAUGACGGGACGUAUUAUGGUAUACCCCGCGUCCGUCUGUCCGUCCGUCCGUCUGUCCGUCCGUAUGUCUGUUAAUGUCGUACGCUACGUCAAAUAUCCUUUGACAGAUUUUCUUCAAAUUUUAACACAAUCUUAAUAUUGAUAAACCCUGAUCCCCUUUCGUUUUUGACGGAAUUCUGAAUUGUCGUUCCAGAGUUAUGGGACUUUGUUCGUCAAAAUUUCGUGAUUUCAUUGAAUGUCCUACUGUAGCUAUAUAAAAAUGUUAAAGUUGUUAUAACUUUGGUAUGCUUGGACCUAGAGUCUUGAAACUUGACAUGAAGGUUGGCCAGAACUAGUAAGUAACCCCUGGACAUUUCAAGGUCAUUCAUUUGAAGGUCAAGGUCACUGUGACCUUGAAUGUAAAAAUGUUAAAGUUCUUAUUUCAUGUUAUAACUUUGGUAUGCUUGUACCUAGAGUCUUCAAACUUGAAAUAAAGAUUGGCCAGUACUAGAAGAUGACCACUGGUCAUUUCAAUGUCAUUCAUUUGAAGGUCAAGGUCACUGUGACCUUAAAUGUUAAAAUGUUAAAAUUGUUAUAACUUUGGUAUGCUUGGACAUAGAGUCUUCAAACUUGACAUGAAGGUUUGCAAGCACACUUAGAUGACCACUGGUCAUUUCAAGGUCAUUCAUUCUAAGGUCAAGGUCACACAAGGUCACUGUGACCUUAAAUGUUAAAAUGUUAAAAUUGUUAUAACUUUGGUAUGCUUGGACAUAGAGUCUUCAAACUUGACAUGAAGGUUUGCAAGCACACUUAGAUGACCACUGGUCAUUUCAAGGUCAUUCAUUCUAAGGUCAAGGUCACUGUGACCUUAAAUGUUAUUGUUGUUCAUGUAUCCUACCGUAGCUCAAAUAUCCCCCGAUGGAUUUUUUAUACGCCCGUCUAUGACGGGACGUAUUAUGGUAUACCCCGCGUCCGUCUGUCCGUCCGUCCGUCCGUCCGUCCGUCCGUCCGUCUGUUAAUGUCGUACGCUACGUCAAAUAUCCUUUGACAGAUUUUCUUCAAAUUUUAACACAAUCUUAAUAUUGAUAAACCCUGAUCCCCUUUCGUUUUUGACGGAAUUCUGAAUUGUCGUUCCAGAGUUAUGGGACUUUGUUCGUCAAAAUUUCGUGAUUUCAUUGAAUGUCCUACUGUAGCUCAAAUAUCCUUCGAUGGAUUUUUUUCAAAUUUCAACACAAUCUUAAUAUUGAUAAACCCUGAUCCCCUUUCGUUUUUGACGGAAUUCUGAAUUGUCGUUCCAGAGUUAUGGGACUUUGUUCGUCAAAAUUUCGUGAUUUCCAUGCUCAUGUACUUAUAAAAUAAACCAUGUAUUCAAAUACAAAUAAACUGAAGUAAAAAAAUGA
Molecule: long non-coding RNA, 1386 nt
Organism: Dreissena polymorpha
Lineage: Eukaryota; Metazoa; Mollusca; Bivalvia; Myida; Dreissenidae
Exons: 2
Source: RefSeq, a predicted model, not a curated record